Molecule: ribosomal RNA, 460 nt
Filed under: uncultured bacterium
Lineage: Bacteria
Description: partial 16S ribosomal RNA
Rfam family: Bacterial small subunit ribosomal RNA
Source: RNAcentral
CCUACGGGAGGCAGCAGUGAGGAAUAUUGGUCAAUGGACGAGAGUCUGAACCAGCCAAGUAGCGUGAAGGAUGACUGCCCUAUGGGUUGUAAACUUCUUUUAUAUGGGAAUAAAAUGUUCCACGUGUGGGAUUUUGUAUGUACCAUAUGAAUAAGGAUCGGCUAACUCCGUUCCAGCAGCCGCGGUAAUACGGAGGUUCCGAGCGUUAUCCGGAUUUAUUGGGUUUAAAGGGAGCGUAGGUGGAUUGUUAAGUCAGUUGUGAAAGUUUGCGGCUCAACCGUAAAAUUGCAGUUGAAACUGGCAGUCUUGAGUACAGUAGAGGUGGGCGGAAUUCGUGGUGUAGCGGUGAAAUGCUUAGAUAUCACGAAGAACUCCGAUUGCGAAGGCAGUUCACUGGACUGCAACUGACACUGAGGCUCGAAAGUGUGGGUAUCAAACAGGAUUAGAUACCCCAGUAGUC